Molecule: ribosomal RNA, 530 nt
Filed under: fungal sp. SNB-GSS08
Lineage: Eukaryota; Fungi
Description: partial large subunit ribosomal RNA
Source: RNAcentral
UUGAGUCUGCUACCUGAUCCGAGGUCAACCUUUGGAAAAUUGGGGGUUUAACGGCUAGAGUCCCUCCGAAUCCCAGUGCGAGACAAAAGUUACUACGCAAAGGAGGCUCCGAGAGGGUCCGCCACUACCUUUGAGGGCCUACGUCAACCGUAGAGCCCCAACGCCAAGCAGUGCUUGAGGGUUGAAAUGACGCUCGAACAGGCAUGCCCGCCAGAAUGCUGGCGGGCGCAAUGUGCGUUCAAAGAUUCGAUGAUUCACUGAAUUCUGCAAUUCACAUUACUUAUCGCAUUUCGCUGCGUUCUUCAUCGAUGCCAGAACCAAGAGAUCCGUUGUUAAAAGUUUUGAUUAUUUGCUUGUGCCACUCAGAAGAAACGUCGUUAAAUCAGAGUUUGGUUAUCCUCCGGCGGACACCCCGCAGAGCGGGGCCGGGGGCCCGGGAGCCGUCCGCCGAAGCAACAGUUAGGUAUGUUCACAAAGGGUUAUAGAGCGGUAACUCAGUAAUGAUCCCUCAGCAGGUUACCCCUACGGAA